CUGCAGCCCUCUGUCUGUAUGCAGGGCAGGGAGGGGCCGGGACCAAGGCUGUGGGCUCCUCUCUCCACCGCAGGGGAGUGGGGGACCCUCCUCAGAGUCCUCUGGACCCUCAGCUCCGCCCUGUCCUCACCUCCCCUCUCCUCUCUGUGUCUGCACUAAGCCAGUCUCCCUGGGCAAGCUGUGGCUCCUGCCCAUCCACCCUCCCCCAGCCCCCUGUGGGUCCCGAAGCCCCUUCCACAGCCUGCUGUUCUCCCUGGAAGGGGGCAAAGGUGGUGAUGCGCAGAGGCUGGCCUCCCGGCCUAAAUGGUGGCGUCACUGCGCAAGACCACGGCAAGAGAUGCGAGUGCAGUGGGCAUGGGCUGGGGUGGCUGCACUCAGUGCCCACCCUGGGCAACAGGCCCUGGGGAUGCCCACAGUUCUAUGAGGUAAACACCAUCGUCACACCCUUGUUUUACAGAUGGGUAAACUGAGGCACAGAGCAGCGAAAUCACUUGUCCAAGGUCACACAGUUAACAAGACACAAAGUGACUUCUGAAUGAGCAUCCUGGCCAGCGUCACACACACAGCCAGCCAGUGGCAAAGCCAGGAGUCAGGCCCUCGUCCCUCCUGCUGCCCUGUCUUUGUGUGCCGGUGGCCCAGGAACAGACAUGCCUCUCCUGACUCAUCCUGCCCCCGGGGAUGCUUUAGCAAUGUCUCUGGUGACCCCAAACCUCAUGGAUGGGGAGACGGAAGGCGUGGGGUAGUUCUUACCUUGACACGUGUUCUCACUUUUAUUCUUGAAUGUUUUUCCCCCAGAAGCAAGCUCGUACCCGGGAAUGCAUUCGCAGUGGUAGCUCCCCUCUGUGUUCUGGCAGUCUGCAAAUUUUCCACAGGACACUGCCAAGGGCGGUCCACACUCAUUGAUGUCUGGAACACAACAGGGCAAAGGGUCACCUCCCAUUAGGGAUCCCUAUCCCCUACCUGACCCCCCAGCAGGGGGCCCAAUGCUUAAUCAGUGUCUUUUAAGGAAAUGAUGAGACUCUCAAGCUAUACUGCAGAGGCUGGGCUGUAGCUAGAGCAAGCCAUUCCUGAAGCCCAUCCGUCAGCUCUGCUCUUCUCUGCCCUCUGGCUGGCAUCCUGGGUUUGGGCACAGUGGGGAGUGCUGAGCUGCAGGGUGGGGGUCAGUUCUGCAUCUUCCUCCUAGUCCUAGAAGAGCAAACUGGAGCAGACUCCAGGGUCUUGGAGACCCAGCUCCUUUCUCUCUGGGAAGCCAGGUUUAUUCACUUUCUAUGUUCCACCUUUAUAUCUUUUCCUUUCUCUUUUCUCCACCCUUGAUAAUAGUCCCGAGGCCAAAGGCUGAGACCCCAACCACCGCCCACAUCUCCCAUGGGCACUGGGCUAUGCCUCACCGUCUCCAUGUCCCCCACCACCCCUCUAAGCCCCUGUACCAUCACAACUCUCCAACUGGUCGGUGAAGAUCUCCCCAGAAGAAGCACUGAACCCCGGAGAGCAGUGGCAGGCGGUGGCGUUGACACAUUUGGAGUUCAGGGGGCACCAGCGAGCGCAGCCUGUGGGGAUGGGGACCACAGUUGGGAGAACGGGGAUGAUGAUCAGCAGCACUUCCUGGAGAAUUAAGCUCGUGCGUACUGCCUGGUGUGUCCAAGUGUUCCCUGUCAUCACAACUUUAUGUAACAGUGAAGGGGUGGGGCCGGGCUUCGAGUCUCAGAUGCUCCGGCCACCCCCCUGCACCCUGGCCGUAGGUGCACACGUACCACACUCACAUCCGUCAGCCCAACGACCGGCUUGGGACCCAGUGGUGACAUGUCACCCCAGCUCCCUGCACACAGGAAGACGCUGUGGGCUCACAUUAAGGGUGGUUCUCGUCUCCUGCUGUUCCUGCCGUUCCGGGGUGCCCUCUUCCCGGGGCAUGUGUUUGGGGGUCCCUCUCAAGUCAACAGGGCCUCUAGAGAUAGGGGGCCCCUUGUUCACCAGGGAGAGAGACAAGGAGAUCAAGAUGGUAAAGCAGGAGGGGGGACAGAGGCAGAGCGGGGAACACGGAGAGGGAGAAGGGAACGUGACAGGUGGAAGGGGACAAACAGGCAGAAGUUGAGGCCAUGCUAGAGAGAGAUGGACGGAGAGAUUGGGAACUUACGGAAAGAGAGAGACUAAGAUGGCAGAGAUUGGAGAGAGGACACAGAAAUGGAGAGAUUGAGAGCAUGAUUGGAAAG
Suricata suricatta (meerkat) is the source of this 2207-nucleotide long non-coding RNA. RefSeq lists it as uncharacterized. The transcript is spliced from 3 exons. The record is from RefSeq and is a predicted model, not a curated record. NCBI's taxonomy places the organism in Eukaryota, Metazoa, Chordata, Mammalia, Carnivora, Herpestidae.